AUGAAAAGCGGGUUGUAUAGUAGUUGUAAUAUUGACAAUAUUACAACUACUAUACAACCCGCUGAACAAUUCAU
Molecule: non-coding RNA, 74 nt
Organism: Paramuricea clavata
Lineage: Eukaryota; Metazoa; Cnidaria; Anthozoa; Malacalcyonacea; Plexauridae
Source: the annotation of a GenBank genome assembly